Molecule: long non-coding RNA, 365 nt
Organism: Mus spicilegus (steppe mouse)
Lineage: Eukaryota; Metazoa; Chordata; Mammalia; Rodentia; Muridae
Source: Ensembl
UGAGAAGGGAGUUGCUGCUCCUUUCCUGGGGUAAGCUAUUUGAGAAAGAAAGUAACCUAACACUAAGUGCAGGCGGGGCGGGGUGAUGUAACAGGAAGCUGUGAUGUUUCCCUUCUGCUGCUGAUCGCUUACAAUCUGACAACACUCCCCAUCUACUCAGAGCAAGCCCUCUCUUCGCAGCGUGCACUUCUGCCUUAGGACCGGCGGGCUCUGUUGCCUGGACCUCACGCUGCCUGCAGGACCACAUUGCAAAGCUUUCCACACCUCGCCUCCGGGAAACUCUUGUGCAGUAUCUCAGAAAAUCAAACUCCCUCCUGAGACUAUUCCCACAGAAUUUCCUUAGGAGCUGUGCCAGGGCCCUAUGA